AAUAAAGUGCCUGAUAAAAGGAUUACUUUGAUAGAGUAAAUAAUGUGCAGUAUAUUCCACCUUUAUUA
Molecule: transfer RNA, 68 nt
Filed under: Ictinogomphus sp. MT-2014
Lineage: Eukaryota; Metazoa; Arthropoda; Insecta; Odonata; Gomphidae
Description: tRNA-Ile
Source: RNAcentral